GUGUCAGCAGCCGCGGUAAUACGGAGGGAGCGAGCGUUGUUCGGAUUUAUUGGGCGUAAAGGGCACGUAGGCGGCUUCGAAAGUCGGAUGUGAAAGCCCGCCGCUUAACGGCGGAACUGCAUUCGAAACUUCGAGGCUUGAGUUCAGAGGAAGAGAGCGGAAUUCUCGGUGUAGCGGUGAAAUGCGUAGAUAUCGAGAAGAACACCAGCGGCGAAGGCGGCUCUCUAUUCUGAAACUGACGCUGAGGUGCGAAAGCCAGGGGAGCGAACGGGAUUAGAAACCCCCGUAGUCC
This 292-nucleotide ribosomal RNA is filed under the name uncultured prokaryote. RNAcentral describes it as "partial 16S ribosomal RNA". It matches the Rfam family "Bacterial small subunit ribosomal RNA", at positions 505 to 796 of the family's 1533-position model. The record is from RNAcentral.